RNAcentral lists this ribosomal RNA (468 nucleotides) under uncultured bacterium. RNAcentral describes it as "partial 16S ribosomal RNA". It matches the Rfam family "Bacterial small subunit ribosomal RNA", at positions 28 to 507 of the family's 1533-position model. The record is from RNAcentral.
GACGAACGCUGGCGGCGUGCUUAACACAUGCAAGUCGAACGGAAAGGCCCUGCUUUUGUGGGGUUCUCGAGUGGCGAACGGGUGAGUAACACGUGAGUAACCUGCCCUUGACUUUGGUAUAACUUCAGGAAACUGGGGCUAAUACCGGAUAGGAGCUCCUGCUGCAUGGUGGGGGUUGGAAAGUUUCGGCGGUUGGGGAUGGACUCGCGGCUUAUCAGCUUGUUGGUGGGGUAGUGGCUUACCAAGGCUUUGACGGGUAGCCGGCCUGAGAGGGUGACCGGCGACAUUGGGACUGAGAGACGGACCAGACUGCAACGGGAGGCAGCGGGGGGGAAUAUUGCACAGUGGGAGGAAGCCUGAUGCAGAAACGCCGCGUGCGGGAUGACGGCCUUCGGGUUGUAAACCGCUUUAGCCUGUGACGAAGCGGGAGUGACGGUAAUGGGUAAAGAAGCACCGGCUAACUACGUG